Triticum aestivum (bread wheat) is the source of this 826-nucleotide RNA transcript. RefSeq lists it as uncharacterized. Lineage: Eukaryota; Viridiplantae; Streptophyta; Magnoliopsida; Poales; Poaceae. The transcript has 5 exons. The record is from RefSeq and is a predicted model, not a curated record.
CCAACGCCACUUCCAAUCGCCACCACCACCACCGCCUCCACCCGCUCCUCCGCCUGAACCCUAGCCAUGGCGUGGCGCGGCGCUGCGUCCCGCACCGUCCUCGCCGCGGUCCGCCGGCCGGCACCCUCGGCCGCGGUCGGCGGCCUCCGGGCCCCUCCUCCCUUCGCGGCCCCGCGCCGCCGGAUCCCUUCCCCCUUCGCCCCCUCCCACCCCACCUCCCCGCUCGGAGCCACACGGCCCCUGGCGGCCAUGAUGGGGUCGCCGCUGACGGCGGCGGUGGUGCUAGGACGGAUGACGGCGCACCCGUCGGCCAGCGCCCGGGCCUGCUGCGAGCUCUCCCAGGGAAAUGGGGACGAUGGUUGAUGUUGGAGGCUGGCCAGCAUGACGGGGACUUUAUCUCCUAGAAUGAUGGAAUGGAAAAGAUGGGUGAUGCGGGAGAGGCAAGGGUAGAGCAUAGCUAAGGUACUUGAAUUUGCCAUGUUGAUUCACCAUCCUUUUUAAAGAGGAUACAAAUCUUGGAUUCGUCUUUUGGAAAGCUAUUCUGGGGCCGUCCUUUUAGUUCUUGAGUUAUUAGAAGAAUGUCUCCAACAAAAUAGCUUCUCUCCAAAUUACUAGCCUAGACUGAAAAUAAUCUUCCUGUGAUAUGACAUGGUUUAUGUCAUGGAUUUAGCUUCUACUUUAGUAGCGAAAUAUCUUCGUGUUGCCUGCUAAGAGGAUUUGGUGGCACAUUUUAUAUGAUUUCUUAGAUUGGAAGGUAUCUCUGUUCCACGAGCAACAACUGUGGUCACACCGUCAUUUCAGUUUCGAGUUCAGCAAUGAUGCUUGA